GUUAGAGCAAAAGCUUCCAAAGUAUGGGAGUAUUUCAGGCCAACUGGUAAAAGAGUUGUCUGUACACUCUGUCAAACUUCACUUGCUUAUCAUGGCAGCACAACCACGCAUUUAAAAGGGAACACACAGGAGUUGUUCCAGAUGUACAGAGCGUUUUUUCUUUCUUCCCUUCAUGUAACCUCCGGGGCUCCGUAAAGAUGCGCCCACAGAAAAGGAAAAGACUACGGAGCAGUACGCCGUCUUCACAACUCUGAGACAAAUUGUAGGCGCUACGAACCGGAGCAAGGACUGACCUCGGCUAUGUCUGCAAGUCCAGAUUUACAUGAUGCUGACUAUGACGGCAUUGUGUACAUAUUAUGAGACAGUAAGCAGGAGCUUCAGGUAGAAAUGACCAGAUCUUUCAACCGCAGGCGGAAGCUGUGAUGAGUUCAGCUUGGAGUUGAGCGAGAAGAAAGAGGCUGCUGGAAGUGAGACAGAGUGUGCUGGAUGGAUUUUUUGUGCGUCCUUUUCGCAGCCAGGAGAGCUCACCGCCGAGCUCUGUGCCACCACGCUGCAGUCGACAUUAGAGGCGAUUCCGAAGUAUAGGGCAACGCACCACAGACAUCUGCAAAACUGACCGAAUUGGGACAGAAUGCCCGCCAGUCACUUACAGUUCCGAGGCGGCAAACAGACACUUCACGGUGCUGUAGGAUUUUGGGCUUUUCCGUGAGCUUAAUUCCCAUUUGUUAUGUAGGCUGUG
Long non-coding RNA from Perca fluviatilis (European perch), 739 nucleotides. RefSeq lists it as uncharacterized. NCBI's taxonomy places the organism in Eukaryota, Metazoa, Chordata, Actinopteri, Perciformes, Percidae. The transcript has 5 exons. The record is from RefSeq and is a predicted model, not a curated record.